GAUGAACGCUGGCGGCGUGCUUAACACAUGCAAGUCGAACGGUGAAGCAGAGCUUGCUCUGUGGAUCAGUGGCGAACGGGUGAGUAACACGUGAGCAACCUGCCCCUGACUCUGGGAUAAGCGCUGGAAACGGCGUCUAAUACUGGAUAUGAGCUGCGACCGCAUGGUCAGCAGUUGGAAAGAUUUUUCGGUCUGGGAUGGGCUCACGGCCUUUCAGCUUUUUGGUGAGGUAAUGGCGUACCAAGGCGUCUACGGGUAGCCGGCCCUAGAGGGGGACCCGCCCCAGCGGGACCGGGAUCACGCCCCGACUCCUACCGGGGGGAGGCGUGGGGAAUAUUUCACAAUGGGGCGAAGCCGUAGUCAGCAACGCCCGGGUCGGGAUGAGGGCCUUUGGGGUGGAAACCUCUUUUGCCCGGGAAGAAGCGGGAGGGACGGGAACCGGUAAAAAAGCCCCGGCUAACUACGGG
RNAcentral lists this ribosomal RNA (467 nucleotides) under uncultured bacterium. RNAcentral describes it as "partial 16S ribosomal RNA". It matches the Rfam family "Bacterial small subunit ribosomal RNA", at positions 28 to 507 of the family's 1533-position model. The record is from RNAcentral.